AGUCGAGCGAAAUCAAUAGGAGCUUGCUUCCUGUUUGGUUAGCGGCGGACGGGUGAGUAACACGUGGGCAACCUGCCUGUAAGACUGGGAUAACUUCGGGGAAACCGGAGCUAAUACCGGGAUAAUCCUUUUCCUCUCAUGAGGAAAAGCUGAAAGUCGGUUUCGGCUGACACUUACAGAUGGGCCCGCGGCGCAUUAGCUAGUUGGUGAGGUAACGGCUCACCAAGGCGACGAUGCGUAGCCGACCUGAGAGGGUGAUCGGCCACACUGGGACUGAGACACGGCCCAGACUCCUACGGGAGGCAGCAGUAGGGAAUCUUCCGCAAUGGACGAAAGUCUGACGGAGCAACGCCGCGUGAGCGAUGAAGGCCUUCGGGUCGUAAAGCUCUGUUGUUAGGGAAGAACAAGUAUCGGAGUAACUGCCGGUACCUUGACGG
RNAcentral lists this ribosomal RNA (437 nucleotides) under uncultured Bacillus sp. RNAcentral's name for it is "bacterial SSU rRNA". It matches the Rfam family "Bacterial small subunit ribosomal RNA", at positions 60 to 475 of the family's 1533-position model. The record is from RNAcentral. Lineage: Bacteria; Bacillati; Bacillota; Bacilli; Caryophanales; Bacillaceae.